RNAcentral lists this long non-coding RNA (4033 nucleotides) under Pelobates cultripes (western spadefoot toad). Lineage: Eukaryota; Metazoa; Chordata; Amphibia; Anura; Pelobatidae. The record is from RNAcentral.
GUACUGUCAGUUACACUGUCACAGAUGAAUCACUCUGCUAAACAUAGUCAUCUUGAUUGCAUAGAGGUAGUCUAUAUUAUGUGACAUAAGCCAACUUAAGUUUGGACUUUGGAAGGCAGAGCUUUGUAAAGUUAAAUACUACACUGGCAGAAUUUAUUCCAUUAAAUAGAAGAAGAAACAAAAAUGUUUUAACACAGAUCAUUGCUUAAUGAUUCAUCUGCAUUAAAUGCUCAUUAAUCGGAAGUAAAAUGCAGUUUAUUGUGAAUGUGAUAAUUGUAGUGCAAGUUAUACAGAAGAUACCCAACCUAAGAGCAGUGACAAUCUGAUCGAAAAAGCAUUAUGGGAAAGCAGAGACAAUUUCUGUCUGUAUGCUUCUUUCUGUUCUAGCAUUCACUUAAGUGGAAUCGACUGUAACUUUAAUACACAACAAAUAUUAAAAAAAAAUCUGUAAAUAAAAAAAUAAAAAUAAAAAAAGAACAGACGUUAAACAGUGAAGUGUAUAGAUGUUUUAUCACAUGAUGGCCACCAACAAACACAACACACAAAGAGACAAGUAUUAGGAAAAUGGUUUAAUAUUGGAGACAGAAGCAAAAAACUGCAUCACACAAUAACAUACGUUACAAAAAUAAGUUUGACUGUUUUAACUACACAGUUAUGUUCACAAUGAAGACAGAAGAUUAGGAAAAAAUUUGAUCUAAACAGCAAAAAACUCAAACUCCUAUUUUUUAUGUUUUUAACUAAUACAUUUAUCCAGUUAAAGUGACUGUGUACGUCUAAAUCUAAUUACCUUAUUGUGUAACUGCACAAUACAUAAUAAAAAGUGAAACUUACCGCUUUUGUUUUGACAUAAUUCUAAAGGUAAGAUAUAACCAAAGGAAAAAAAUAAAAAAGCAAGCCAAAGUUUUUUUUUUUAAUUGUUCAAAGUAAAACCAAUAUUCUUUAUACCAGUCAGAAAUCAAACUCAAAAUCAGUCAUAACAGGGGCCUUCAAGAGUAAGCCACAACUUUUCCGUUUGUUUUUUUUUAAUCUCCAGUAUAAAAUGUUGCACUGGUACAAAAUUCAUAAGUACAAUCAGUUUGUAGAAAUAGGAAAGCCUGGUAUUUUUUUUUUUGGCUCAAAUUCCAUCACACAACAGAACCAAAAAGCAUCAAUAGAACAGAAACAAUACUUAAAUGAUCUUACAGUUUCCACUAAAAUUGCAUGAACUUUGGCUUUUCUCAGACAAUACUAAAAAAAAAAACUAUUUGUAAAUUUAAACAAAAUGAGUUAUUAUUUAAUCUACAAACAACAAUUCUCACAGCACAAAAAAUAAACACAAAUACAUUUCUUUUGUAUGAUGUAGUUCAAAAAUGUCAUGAAACUACGUUUUUUUUUCUUAUUUAGCACUUGAGAUAAUAAAAACAGAACAAUUAAAAUGACUUCAGAGUUGUACAAGCCAAAAAACUAGAAUCCCACAGUGAAAAAAAGUUGAACACACUAGUCCUUUAAGCAGUGUCCAUUUAGUGCACAACUUGUGCUCCAACCAAUCAAAAUGCAGACAAAAACUUUCAAAAUGAUUGUAUAUGUCCCACUGAAAGUAUUAAGUGAUUAAAACGAGGAGGGGUUUCAUUAUUGUGUUUUAACUGCUUUUCAUUUGUAAACAGAAAUUUUAAAUCUUGAUUUUUUUUCUAUACUCUGGUCAAAUAGAUUGCAAAUUAUACUAUAUAAAUGUUUUAUUCAAUGCAACACACAAUGUGACGUGACAUAUAUAAAGAAAUCAACCCUAUACCAUCAGAAAUCUAUAUUAACUAUAUAACUAUAUUACAUAUAUUAAACUUAUCCAUUAGAAGAUCUUACAAAUAUAGAAAGUUUAGUCAAUUUCAUGUAAAGUCUUAAGAACAAAAAUAUUUUCAACAUUUUCCAUAGCUUUUGUUCAUAUGUUUUAUAAAAUAGUCAUCAAAUAAUUAAGGACGGACGCAGGAGGCUUAACAUAAAACUAGGGACAAAUAGGAUAUAAUAUGUAUAUAAAUAUAUAUUAAACAAAUUACAUAUUGAUAUUACAGAUAUUCAGAAUUCCUCCAGUUUAAGAUUAAAUGCCACGCAUGAUUUUCACUGCAAAAGGUGCAAAUCCAAAUAUGGAAGGAUUUCACAUUGACCAAAUGAACUAGAUCAUCUAUGGGAAGUUUAAGUCAACUUGUUCAUCCUGUAGCAUACAUUGUAUAUAUUUUGCUGCUGUUGGGAAACAAUGUAGACAAAUGAACAUGUGUUGAUAUUUAUGUAUUUAUGAUCACUGUGUAGCCCAUACUUCUAGGUUAGCAGAACAUAAAGGAAAUAGCCUUAAGAUACUGCGUGUGUGUGCUUUCUCUAACAUGUGUAUAAUGUAUGUGCUUUAGGUACCCUGAUUCAAAAGGACAACAUGCUUAAAAGAACAGCUGUUCAACACUCCCUCACUGUGAGAUAUCCACAGACCAUGAAGUAAGUACAAUUGUGAGGUUUGCCUUCACAGCACUGAUGUGCAGAGUGGUUAAAAAAGUGGAACAUGGGUACUUACUGUAUACAAUGUUUUACCAAAAACAUCAAAGAGAAAAAACAAACGAGAACAAUUUCAGGCAACAAGACCACAGGAUAGCAAGUUAACAAACUUUUGUAACCUCUCUUUUUUAAAUAGAAGGGAUUUAUACAAAACACAUAAUAAAAUACCCAUGUUAUCAAAUUACUUCAUACACGAAAUACACUGAAGCUUUAGGCAAGAAGUACCUUUGGAAUUUGGCACUGUAUUUUCACUGAAUUUUUUUUCUUUAGAAGAAAAAAAACAGGUCACAUUUUGCUGAACACAAACACAUCUAAGUUUCCCCACAAUAAAAAAUUAUAACAUCAAAUGCUUUACAAGCCAACACAAAACUUUUUUUUUGUUUUUCAUGGAAUUGUUUUUCACAUGAAAUUGUAGCAAACAGACGUUUUUGUUUUUUCUGAAAACUAUUUUUAGUUCAAGUAAACCAAUUUUUUUUUUCAAAUUUCUUAAACAUAGAACAUUGAAGACUUUUAAGACUUAAUGAAGCCACAACUAAAUUCACAGAAGCACCAACGUGACACAGUAUACAUUUACCUUCUUUUCUGUACAUUUAAACAGUAUAAAAUAUAGGUAAUUUCAUGUGCAUUAAACCAUGGAUUGUCUAACUGUGAGUCAGUUCAGCAAAAGGUGACAGAACUAGGUAGCAUUUGCCCCAAAACAGGGUAAAUAUUUUUUUAUACUAAUCUACAAAAAAGUGGUUUCUAUAUAUAUAAUUUAAUGAGAAAGUGAGCCACCUAAAAUGGCCUUAUCAAAAAACUUUACACUGCCUGAAAAAUGUAAAAACUAUUACAGAGCUCUAGAUACUUAAAAUCAGACAGUUUUCUCAAACUGUUUUGGAAGUCUGCUUCAUUUAGAAACUAACAUUCUGAGUUUCUGGACACAUAUUGCUUUAGGUAACAGUGACCAGACAGAAUGCUAAUCCCUGUAUAAUACUUUCAAGUCUGUUUACGUUAUGAAACAAAAAUUCAAAAGAAAAAAAUAAACUUUUUUUGCCACAGGUUUUUUUUUAUCUUUUUUUUUUUUUUUUGCUCUAUAAUCUGCUCGAUAUUAAAUUUCAGUCUUGCAUGAAUUUCACAUUGACUAUGUUUUUUUUUCUCCAGAAUUCAUAGCUAGAUGAGAUCACAUGCAAAUUUCAGAGGUCAAACUAAAUCAGUUGGAGGACCGAAUAUGAUGUGAGGUCAGAAAGACAUCAGAAACAAUGACGGGACGAUGAAACUUUUUUUUUUUAUAGACGCCACAGGGACAUGCUAGGCAAACGGUGAACUAACAGGCAUGGAGAUGUUCUAGGGAAAAAAAAGGAAGAGUAUAAAGUUACACAGAAUCUAUGCAGCAGAAACAAAUUCACUUUUAAGCUUUUUCGGUGCUGGAACUGAUCGGUAACGUAUUGUUGAGAAAUGCAUUUCUGAUCUUCCCAGCACUGAUUAAGUUUAUGAAUGUAAUGCAAAUCUUGAAGAUGUUUGAGUCUAUGUGCCAUUCAAUAAU